This 23-nucleotide non-coding RNA is filed under the name Cricetulus griseus (Chinese hamster). Lineage: Eukaryota; Metazoa; Chordata; Mammalia; Rodentia; Cricetidae. The record is from RNAcentral.
AUUGUGGAGAGAAUAGAUAGCGG